CAAGUCCGAGCGAAUGGAUUAAGAAGCUUGCUCUUAUGAAGUUAGCGGCGGACGGGUGAGUAACACGUGGGUAACCUGCCCAUAAGACUGGGAUAACUCCGGGAAACCGGGGCUAAUACCGGAUAACAUUUUGAACCGCAUGGUUCGAAAUUGAAAGGCGGCUUCGGCUGUCACUUAUGGAUGGACCCGCGUCGCAUUAGCUAGUUGGUGAGGUAACGGCUCACCAAGGCAACGAUGCGUAGCCGACCUGAGAGGGUGAUCGGCCACACUGGGACUGAGACACGGCCCAGACUCCUACGGGAGGCAGCAGUAGGGAAUCUUCCGCAAUGGACGAAAGUCUGACGGAGCAACGCCGCGUGAGUGAUGAAGGCUUUCGGGUCGUAAAACUCUGUUGUUAGGGAAGAACAAGUGCUAGUUGAAUAAGCUGGCACCUUGACGGUACCUAACCAGAAAGCCACGGCUAACUACGUGCCAGCAGCCGCGGUAAUACGUAGGUGGCAAGCGUUAUCCGGAAUUAUUGGGCGUAAAGCGCGCGCAGGUGGUUUCUUAAGUCUGAUGUGAAAGCCCACGGCUCAACCGUGGAGGGUCAUUGGAAACUGGGAGACUUGAGUGCAGAAGAGGAAAGUGGAA
This 630-nucleotide ribosomal RNA is filed under the name Bacillus cereus. RNAcentral describes it as "bacterial SSU rRNA". It matches the Rfam family "Bacterial small subunit ribosomal RNA", at positions 58 to 666 of the family's 1533-position model. Lineage: Bacteria; Bacillati; Bacillota; Bacilli; Caryophanales; Bacillaceae. The record is from RNAcentral.